AUUGAACGCUGGCGGCAGGCCUAACACAUGCAAGUCGAACGGUAACAGGAAGCAGCUUGCUGCUUCGCUGACGAGUGGCGGACGGGUGAGUAAUGUCUGGGAAACUGCCUGAUGGAGGGGGAUAACUACUGGAAACGGUAGCUAAUACCGCAUAACGUCGCAAGACCAAAGAGGGGGACCUUAGGGCCUCUUGCCAUCGGAUGUGCCCAGAUGGGAUUAGCUAGUAGGUGGGGUAACGGCUCACCUAGGCGACGAUCCCUAGCUGGUCUGAGAGGAUGACCAGCCACACUGGAACUGAGACACGGUCCAGACUCCUACGGGAGGCAGCAGUGGGGAAUAUUGCACAAUGGGCGAAAGCCUGAUGCAGCCAUGCCGAGUGUAUGAAGAAGGCCUUCGGGUUGUAAAGUACUUUCAGCGGGGAGGAAGGGAGUAAAGUUAAUACCUUUGCUCAUUGACGUUACCCGCAGAAGAAGCACCGGCUAACUCCGUG
This 490-nucleotide ribosomal RNA is filed under the name uncultured bacterium. RNAcentral describes it as "partial 16S ribosomal RNA". It matches the Rfam family "Bacterial small subunit ribosomal RNA", at positions 30 to 507 of the family's 1533-position model. The record is from RNAcentral.